This 500-nucleotide ribosomal RNA is filed under the name uncultured bacterium. RNAcentral describes it as "partial 16S rRNA". The record is from RNAcentral.
GCACGGAGUUAGCCGGGGCUUCCUCUGGCAGUACCGUCAAGCUUCCGGACUGUUCGCCCGGAAACCUUCGUCCCGCCUGACAGGAGUUUACGAUCCGAAGACCUUCGUCCUCCACGCGGCGUUGCUGGAUCAGGCUUGCGCCCAUUGUCCAAUAUUCCCCACUGCUGCCUCCCGUAGGAGUCUGGGCCGUGUCUCAGUCCCAGUGUGGCCGAUCACCCUCUCAGGCCGGCUACUGAUCGUCGCCUUGGUAGGCCUUUACCCCACCAACUAGCUAAUCAGCCGCGGGCUCCUCUGCGAGCGCUAGCUUAUAAAUAGAGGCCAGCUUUCUUGUCGAGGCCGCAACCCCAACAACGUAUGCGGUAUUAGCCCGAGUUUCCCCAGGUUAUCCCCCGCUCCCAGGCAGAUCACCCACGUGUUACUCACCCGUUCGCCGCUCUCCGGUGGCCGAAGCCACCUUCGCGCACGACUUGCAUGUGUUAAGCACGCCGCCAGCGUUCAUU